UCUCUGUUCUUUUCCAAGGCCAAGGAUUAAAUAUCAUGGUAAUCCCAGUCUAUGCCCCGACCAGUAAUGCUGAAGAAGCUGAAGUUGAACGGUUUUAUGAAGACCUACAAGACCUUUUAGAACUAACACCCAAAAAAGAUGUCCUUUUCAUUAUA
This is a long non-coding RNA of Cervus elaphus (red deer), 155 nucleotides long. RefSeq lists it as uncharacterized. The record is from RefSeq and is a predicted model, not a curated record. NCBI's taxonomy places the organism in Eukaryota, Metazoa, Chordata, Mammalia, Artiodactyla, Cervidae. The transcript has 4 exons.